AGGUGACUGAUAGAGCGCUGGGUGUCUGUUAGUGUUACCUACCUUGCUCAGUCCCCAGUCUUUGUAGCACACAAAUGGGUGCAUCUGAACAUACUGCUUUGUGUUUAUUGAAUGAGAAGCAGAUUUGGGUUUGGAAAUGCAAGACUGGAAUACUAAGCGCUCGGUCUCCAGGGACAGCUGAGUAAAUCAGAUGAUUCUGCAGCAUCUUCUGAAUUUCUUUUCAGGGAUGUAUGAAUGUAGCAGCAUCAACUGGGAAGCAGUGGAACCAAGCCAUAGGCAUUACAUUCUCAUUCAAAUCUGAAAUUUGAUUAGAUAU
This 316-nucleotide long non-coding RNA is filed under the name Coturnix japonica (Japanese quail). RNAcentral describes it as "lncRNA (ENSCJPG00005012709.1)". Lineage: Eukaryota; Metazoa; Chordata; Aves; Galliformes; Phasianidae. The record is from RNAcentral.